Molecule: ribosomal RNA, 708 nt
Filed under: uncultured Bacteroidaceae bacterium
Lineage: Bacteria; Pseudomonadati; Bacteroidota; Bacteroidia; Bacteroidales; Bacteroidaceae
Description: bacterial SSU rRNA
Rfam family: Bacterial small subunit ribosomal RNA
Source: RNAcentral
CGGUCAGCGAUGGGGAUGCGUUCCAUUAGAUAGUUGGCGGGGUAACGGCCCACCAAGUCGACGAUGGAUAGGGGUUCUGAGAGGAAGGUCCCCCACAUUGGAACUGAGACACGGUCCAAACUCCUACGGGAGGCAGCAGUGAGGAAUAUUGGUCAAUGGGCGAGAGCCUGAACCAGCCAAGUAGCGUGAAGGAAGACUGCCCUAUGGGUUGUAAACUUCUUUUAUACGGGAAUAAAGUCAUCCACGUGUGGAUGUUUGUAUGUACCGUAUGAAUAAGCAUCGGCUAACUCCGUGCCAGCAGCCGCGGUAAUACGGAGGAUGCGAGCGUUAUCCGGAUUUAUUGGGUUUAAAGGGAGCGCAGACGGGAGAUUAAGUCAGUUGUGAAAGUUUGCGGCUCAACCGUAAAAUUGCAGUUGAUACUGGUUUCCUUGAGUGCAGUUGAGGCAGGCGGAAUUCGUGGUGUAGCGGUGAAAUGCUUAGAUAUCACGAAGAACCCCGAUUGCGAAGGCAGCUUGCUAAACUGUAACUGACGUUCAUGCUCGAAAGUGUGGGUAUCAAACAGGAUUAGAUACCCUGGUAGUCCACACGGUAAACGAUGGAUACUCGCUGUUGGCGAUAUACUGUCAGCGGCCAAGCGGAAGCAUUAAGUAUCCCACCUGGGGAGUACGCCGGCAACGGUGAAACUCAAAGGAAUUGACGGGGGCCCGC